This 494-nucleotide ribosomal RNA is filed under the name uncultured bacterium. RNAcentral's name for it is "partial 16S ribosomal RNA". It matches the Rfam family "Bacterial small subunit ribosomal RNA", at positions 28 to 507 of the family's 1533-position model. The record is from RNAcentral.
GACGAACGCUGGCGGCGCGCUUAACACAUGCAAGUCGAACGGAAAGGCCUUCUUUCCCUUGUGCAUUGCGGGUGCACGGGUGGCUAACGGGUGAGUAACACGCGAGUCAUCUGCCCCCAACUUGGGUAUAAUCCGGGGAAACUGGGUCUAAUUCCCUAUAGGACUGCAGGGUUGUGCCUGUGGUUGGAAACGAGUUUCUAGUGCUUGGGGAUGACCUGGCGGCCUAGCAGUUUGUUGGUGAGGUAGUGGCCUGCCAAGGCGGCGACGGGUAGCCGGGCCGGGAGGGUGGACGGCCAGAUUGGGACGGAGCUACGGCCCAGAGGCAUGCGGGAGGCAGCAGUGGGGGACAUCGGACAAUGGGAGGAAGCCAGAUGCGGCGACGCCGCGUGGGGGAUGACGGCCGUGGGGUUGUAAACUCGUGUCGAACGCGAGGAAGCCACCUGGCUGGAAGGGUGGUGACGGUAGUGGUAGAAGAAGCACCGGCUAACUACGUG